RNAcentral lists this ribosomal RNA (692 nucleotides) under uncultured bacterium. RNAcentral describes it as "bacterial SSU rRNA". It matches the Rfam family "Bacterial small subunit ribosomal RNA", at positions 807 to 1501 of the family's 1533-position model. The record is from RNAcentral.
CGAUGUGUGUUAGACGUUGGAAAUUAUUUUCAGUGUCGCAGGGAAACCGAUAAACACACCGCCUGGGGAGUACGACCGCAAGGUUAAAACUCAAAUGAAUUGACGGGGACCCGCACAAGUAGUGGAGCAUGUGGUUUAAUUCGAAGAUACGCGCAGAACCUUACCAACACUUGACAUGUUCGUCGCGACUCUAAGAGAUUAGAGUUUUCGGUUCGGCCGGACGAAACACAGGUGCUGCAUGGCUGUCGUCAGCUCGUGUCGUGAGAUGUUGGGUUAAGUCCCGCAACGAGCGCAACCCUCACUUUUAGUUGCCAUCAUUAAGUUGGGCACUCUGAAAGAACUGCCAGUGAUAAGCUGGAGGAAGGUGGGGAUGACGUCAAGUCCUCAUGGCCCUUACGUGUUGGGCUACACACGUGCUACAAUGGCAUCUACAACAGGAAGCAAAACGGCAACGUUAAGCAAAUCCCGAAAAGAUGCCUCAGUUCGGAUUGCACUCUGCAACUCGAGUGCAUGGAGCUGGAAUUACUAGUAAUCGUGGAUCAGCGUGCCACGGUGAAUGCGUUCCCGGGUCUUGUACACACCGCCCGUCACACCAUGGGAGUGGGUUUUACCAGAAGUAGUUAGUCUGACCGCAAGGGGGACGAUUACCACGGUAGGAUUCAUGACUGGGGUGAAGUCGUAACAAGGUAACC